This is a long non-coding RNA of Chenopodium quinoa (quinoa), 3300 nucleotides long. RefSeq lists it as uncharacterized. Lineage: Eukaryota; Viridiplantae; Streptophyta; Magnoliopsida; Caryophyllales; Amaranthaceae. The transcript is spliced from 2 exons. The record is from RefSeq and is a predicted model, not a curated record.
AGGAUUUGGUGCCUUUUUAGACCAAAUGGUCCCGAUCCAUGGCUCUAACUUGAUUGAUAUCAAGGAACUUUAUGAUAUGAAGAAAUCCUUGUUGAAAUUUUGGGCCAGGUUGCCCUUACUAGAAUUUAAGUAAUUAACGACAACUCAAUAACCACGAUAAAAAAAAAUUCAUUGUUAAAAGCAUAUUUACGAGGACUAAAAAUGUUUCUCGUGAUUUUUGAACUAUUGUCGGUAAUGAUGUGAUGUGUUCCUCGUUAAUAAUUUUGAAAAAAAAAGAAAAAAUUUACCGUCGUUAUUGUUGUAUCUGAAGCGGGGAUAACUUUCCCCUCCCGCCGUGCACUUGAACUCCAAAACAAAACCCUUGUUUCUCAAUCAAAUCUUAUUCUCAAAAAUUCAACCCAAAUCGAAGUUAAUCAAAAGUGCGUCAGAUUGAGGUUUGUUCUUUCUCCAAUUUAGAAGAUAAUCAUAAGCUAAUAAAUUGAAGGAUAAUUUUCUGCAUUUUGGUAUGUAAACAAAUCUCUUUUGAAUUACAUAAUUGUAGUUUAGGGUUUAAUUUUCAUUUAAUGUGAUGGACUUGUUAAUUUGUUGAGGAUCUAAAUUUUUUUUCUUUGUUCGAUUAUAAUUGGUUUCUUUGAUCCAUUAUUCGUUUUCAGUUUAAUAUCUUUAAUUAAUUAAAUAAUGAACCUAAAUGCUCAAAUUCGUUGAAUCCUAAUCAAUCUUAUGUAACUGAAUGGGUUUGAGUAAAUAAAUGUAAUUCGUUUUCAAUCUAAUGACUUUACUCUUAAUUUUACAUUAGUUGUUCGAUUUUAAAUGUGGUCUGAUGGUUUUCAUUCUGAUCCAUUAUUCUUCCCCUUUUAUUAGUGUAAUUUCGUUUGAUUAUUUGUGGAAUUACUCAAGAUGGGUGAUUUAUUGAAUUUGUUAUGUUAAAUUGGUAAUCUGAUUCCUUUUUUCUUAAUUUAUAUAGCUACUUGCAUGUACUUCCAAACUAUUUCCUUCUAUUUAUCUUUUAUGGGAAAUGAAUAAGUAGGAUCAUGACUCAUGAGUGUUGGCAGUAGAUGAAAUAUCAUCAAAUAAUUAAUGAUUUGUUAAGGAAGUUGGGCUAAAAACUUAAUGGGUAUGAACUAAUAUACAUGCAUACUAGCUAAAAGAAAAAAGAGGGGAAUGGGGUAUGACUAGUGUUAGCUACAAGCAGCAUAACAAUCAUUAUAUGCAACAAAACCAUAUAGCUAAUUGAAAAUAUGGAGUUGAUUUUUCGUUCUAUAAAUGUAAAUGUUUUAUUUAUAGCUAGAUAUAAUUAUAUAAUUUUUGGUUGGAUAAUUCAAUUUCUUUGUGUAAAAAAAUUAAUUACUUCACGCUAAACUGGGUAAUUGUUGCAGAAACAAUGGUUUGUUAGCCUCAAUUGGACUUGUGCACAGCCUUGAAAUGUUAUUGUUCAUGUGUUUGGAUUCUUUUGGCCUUGGUGUAUGUUUUUAGUUAUAUAAAAUUUUAUAUGCAGUGUGUAUUGUAAUUUUGGUUCUGAUCCAAUAACAAAUUUAAAGUGAUACUUAUGUUCUACACUUCUACAAAUUUUAGUUGAUGACUUGGUCAUAGAUUGCUCUUAUCUAAUUUGCUAGCCUGAUGUCUGCCAUUGAAACUUGAUGACUGACGCACUCUAAUCGAAAAAGAAUUGAUUUGAUAUGCAAUAUGCAAUUUGAUAUUAGAUAUUAUCUACUUUGAAUAAUUCAUACUUGAUUAAAUCAUAAUUAAUAGUUAUAAUCAAAAUGAUAUUCAUAUAGACUACAUAUGACUUAAUUUUGUUUGGGGAGGGAGGUUGGUGGGGGGGGGGGGGGGUAGUGGAAAGAGCCCAAAGAGGUGACCGUAUCAUAAUGUACUUUCUGUGCAGGGUUUCAGAGAAAGGUUAUUAGCAAAUCCAAAAUUUUGAAACAAAUUAGCUAUUGAAGAAGCUAUAUCACUGACAACAACUCUGCUUGCACAGUAUGAGAAACGGAAAGAAAUUUUUUUUCUGGAAAUUGACUAUGUUGUUACCGACUCACUCAGGGGAGCUGUAGUUGAUUUCUUUACUGUUUGGCUUCUAGCCCCAACCCUUUCCUUCUUAUCUUUUGAUAAGAUGGGUUCAUAUGAUAGUAUGGAUUCUCUAAAUUUGUUGGGAUCCAUCCCAGACAAUGCUUUUUAAAAAAAUCCUAUUGGGAAAAACUGGAAUCUGAUCACCGGCUUGCAUCAGUGGUUUUUGGUGGGCAGAAAGUUGUUGUAGUUGGAUUUGUAUUAAGCAUUGCUACCGUUGCUUUUUUAAAUAUCCUAUAUGCACUACGUAAUUCUAAUUAAGUGCCGAUGACUACACGGAAUAAUCAAAUUUGGUUCAUGUAGCCAACCCCACUUGUGGGAUUAAGGCUUUGAUUGAUUGAUUGGUUACGUAAUUCUAAUUGUGAUAAUUAAUACUACUUAUAUUUUAGCUUAGUGUAGCUAAUUAAGUGCUCUCUUAUAAGUGAUUGAUGGGCUCUAACAAAUAGAUGUUGAAGUGUAUAUGUUGACACCAUGCGCUUUAGCUUUGUAGAUAGGAGUUGCUACUUAGUAGAAAUGCAUGUAUUCAUGUUUGUAUUAUCAUGCUCAUUUUGUUAAGAUCAUCUACCUAAUCAUCUCUAUUCUUUGUCAAUUGGUUAGCACUUGGUAAAGAUUAUAGGCUUUAAAUUUUAUAUCAUAUGUUAGAGUAGUAGUCAGAUACUAGAGCUUAUCAUUUCUUUGGAUUCUUGUGACAUCUACCGAUCUACCUAAGUUUUUUAUGCUUGAUAUUUGUUAAUUAUCAUGAUUGUUAUUCUUUUGUAGUAUUAUUAUUGUUGGAUGUGCAGUUUACAAAUUCAAUGUUUUACAUUAAAUCAAUUUUUUUUUAUUAUUCUGACAAAAUUUUGCAGAGUAGCACUGACAAAGAGCUCAAAUCAGGUAGUAAUAACAAUUAUAACUACUAACCUUAAUUUCUAUUUUUAUGAAGUUUUUUUUAUUUUUAUAUAAUGGAAGCUAAAUUGGUACAUGAUGAAUGUAGUAUUACUUAUUUUUUGAAAUUUUCAGUUAAAAAGAGAGGUCGUAGAUGAUACGGAGUAUCAAGGCUUUGAUGUGAUUGGAAGAUAAAUCUAAUUUGGUUUACUCUCGGUCUUUAAAUUUGGCUCAAACUUUUUUUGGUUUUUCUUUUAUUGAUUAGUCUUACUGUCCUAUAGAUAGUGUGGAAUUUAGAAAGGAUGUAAUAUUGUAACGUUGUUGCUGGGUUUUAGCAGACUUGAAAUUUAAUAAUUCAUUCAAAAUUUAUUAUAA